AGCAGCCGCGGUAAUUCCAGCUCCAAUAGCGUAUAUUAAAGUUGCUGCAGUUAAAAAGCUCGUAGUUGAAUUUUGGAUUCUUCCAAUUGGUCCAUCUUUUAGAUGAGUACUGGUUGUGUGGGGUCUAUCCGCCUGGUGAUACGUAAUGUCCUUUAUUGGAUGUUUCGGGUAGUCAGGACCUUUACCUGAAAAAUUAGAGUGUUUAAAGCAGGCUUAUGCCGGAAUACAUUAGCAUGGAAUAAUAGAAUAGGACGAAGUUGUUUUAUUUUGUUGGUUUCUAGGACAACCGUAAUGAUUAAUAGGGAUAGUUGGGGCGAUUAGUAUUCAAUUGUCAGAGGUGAAAGUUCUUGGAUUUAUUGAAGACUAACUACUGCGAAAGCAUUUGCCAAGGAUGUUUUCAUUAAUCAAGAACGAAAGCUAGGGGAUCGAAGACGAUCAGAUACCGUCGUAGUCUUAACCAUAAACUAUGCCGACUAGGGAUCGGGCGAUGUUGUUUCCAUGACUCGCUCGGCACCUUAUG
This 520-nucleotide ribosomal RNA is filed under the name uncultured Archaeospora. Its description in RNAcentral is "SSU rRNA". It matches the Rfam family "Eukaryotic small subunit ribosomal RNA", at positions 569 to 1092 of the family's 1831-position model. Lineage: Eukaryota; Fungi; Glomeromycota; Glomeromycetes; Archaeosporales; Archaeosporaceae. The record is from RNAcentral.